GGGUUGUGAGGUUAAGCGACUAAGCGUACACGGUGGAUGCCCUGGCAGUCAGAGGCGAUGAAGGACGUGCUAAUCUGCGAUAAGCGUCGGUAAGGUGAUAUGAACCGUUAUAACCGGCGAUUUCCGAAUGGGGAAACCCAGUGUGAUUCGUCACACUAUCAUUAACUGAAUCCAUAGGUUAAUGAGGCGAACCGGGGGAACUGAAACAUCUAAGUACCCCGAGGAAAAGAAAUCAACCGAGAUUCCCCCAGUAGCGGCGAGCGAACGGGGAGCAGCCCAGAGCCUGAAUCAGUGUGUGUGUUAGUGGAAGCGUCUGGAAAGGCGCGCGAUACAGGGUGACAGCCCCGUACACAAAAAUGCACAUGCUGUGAGCUCGAUGAGUAGGGCGGGACACGUGGUAUCCUGUCUGAAUAUGGGGGGACCAUCCUCCAAGGCUAAAUACUCCUGACUGACCGAUAGUGAACCAGUACCGUGAGGGAAAGGCGAAAAGAACCCCGGCGAGGGGAGUGAAAAAGAACCUGAAACCGUGUACGUACAAGCAGUGGGAGCACAGAGCAAUCUGUGUGACUGCGUACCUUUUGUAUAAUGGGUCAGCGACUUAUAUUCUGUAGCAAGGUUAACCGAAUAGGGGAGCCGAAGGGAAACCGAGUCUUAACUGGGCGUUAAGUUGCAGGGUAUAGACCCGAAACCCGGUGAUCUAGCCAUGGGCAGGUUGAAGGUUGGGUAACACUAACUGGAGGACCGAACCGACUAAUGUUGAAAAAUUAGCGGAUGACUUGUGGCUGGGGGUGAAAGGCCAAUCAAACCGGGAGAUAGCUGGUUCUCCCCGAAAGCUAUUUAGGUAGCGCCUCGUGAAUUCAUCUCCGGGGGUAGAGCACUGUUUCGGCAAGGGGGUCAUCCCGACUUACCAACCCGAUGCAAACUGCGAAUACCGGAGAAUGUUAUCACGGGAGACACACGGCGGGUGCUAACGUCCGUCGUGAAGAGGGAAACAACCCAGACCGCCAGCUAAGGUCCCAAAGUCAUGGUUAAGUGGGAAACGAUGUGGGAAGGCCCAGACAGCCAGGAUGUUGGCUUAGAAGCAGCCAUCAUUUAAAGAAAGCGUAAUAGCUCACUGGUCGAGUCGGCCUGCGCGGAAGAUGUAACGGGGCUAAACCAUGCACCGAAGCUGCGGCAGCGGCGCUUAUGCGUUGUUGGGUAGGGGAGCGUUCUGUAAGCCUGCGAAGGUGUACUGUGAGGUAUGCUGGAGGUAUCAGAAGUGCGAAUGCUGACAUAAGUAACGAUAAAGCGGGUGAAAAGCCCGCUCGCCGGAAGACCAAGGGUUCCUGUCCAACGUUAAUCGGGGCAGGGUGAGUCGACCCCUAAGGCGAGGCCGAAAGGCGUAGUCGAUGGGAAACAGGUUAAUAUUCCUGUACUUGGUGUUACUGCGAAGGGGGGACGGAGAAGGCUAUGUUGGCCGGGCGACGGUUGUCCCGGUUUAAGCGUGUAGGCUGGUUUUCCAGGCAAAUCCGGAAAAUCAAGGCUGAGGCGUGAUGACGAGGCACUACGGUGCUGAAGCAACAAAUGCCCUGCUUCCAGGAAAAGCCUCUAAGCAUCAGGUAACAUCAAAUCGUACCCCAAACCGACACAGGUGGUCAGGUAGAGAAUACCAAGGCGCUUGAGAGAACUCGGGUGAAGGAACUAGGCAAAAUGGUGCCGUAACUUCGGGAGAAGGCACGCUGAUAUGUAGGUGAAGUCCCUCGCGGAUGGAGCUGAAAUCAGUCGAAGAUACCAGCUGGCUGCAACUGUUUAUUAAAAACACAGCACUGUGCAAACACGAAAGUGGACGUAUACGGUGUGACGCCUGCCCGGUGCCGGAAGGUUAAUUGAUGGGGUCAGCGCAAGCGAAGCUCUUGAUCGAAGCCCCGGUAAACGGCGGCCGUAACUAUAACGGUCCUAAGGUAGCGAAAUUCCUUGUCGGGUAAGUUCCGACCUGCACGAAUGGCGUAAUGAUGGCCAGGCUGUCUCCACCCGAGACUCAGUGAAAUUGAACUCGCUGUGAAGAUGCAGUGUACCCGCGGCAAGACGGAAAGACCCCGUGAACCUUUACUAUAGCUUGACACUGAACAUUGAGCCUUGAUGUGUAGGAUAGGUGGGAGGCUUUGAAGUGUGGACGCCAGUCUGCAUGGAGCCGACCUUGAAAUACCACCCUUUAAUGUUUGAUGUUCUAACGUUGACCCGUGAUCCGGGUUGCGGACAGUGUCUGGUGGGUAGUUUGACUGGGGCGGUCUCCUCCUAAAGAGUAACGGAGGAGCACGAAGGUUGGCUAAUCCUGGUCGGACAUCAGGAGGUUAGUGCAAUGGCAUAAGCCAGCUUGACUGCGAGCGUGACGGCGCGAGCAGGUGCGAAAGCAGGUCAUAGUGAUCCGGUGGUUCUGAAUGGAAGGGCCAUCGCUCAACGGAUAAAAGGUACUCCGGGGAUAACAGGCUGAUACCGCCCAAGAGUUCAUAUCGACGGCGGUGUUUGGCACCUCGAUGUCGGCUCAUCACAUCCUGGGGCUGAAGUAGGUCCCAAGGGUAUGGCUGUUCGCCAUUUAAAGUGGUACGCGAGCUGGGUUUAGAACGUCGUGAGACAGUUCGGUCCCUAUCUGCCGUGGGCGCUGGAGAAUUGAGGGGGGCUGCUCCUAGUACGAGAGGACCGGAGUGGACGCAUCACUGGUGUUCGGGUUGUCAUGCCAAUGGCACUGCCCGGUAGCUAAAUGCGGAAGAGAUAAGUGCUGAAAGCAUCUAAGCACGAAACUUGCCCCGAGAUGAGUUCUCCCUGACUCCUUGAGAGUCCUGAAGGAACGUUGAAGACGACGACGUUGAUAGGCCGGGUGUGUAAGCGCAGCGAUGCGUUGAGCUAACCGGUACUAAUGAACCGUGAGGCUUAACCUUACAACGCCGAAG
This 2927-nucleotide ribosomal RNA is filed under the name Escherichia coli. Its description in RNAcentral is "partial 23S ribosomal RNA". It matches the Rfam family "Bacterial large subunit ribosomal RNA". Lineage: Bacteria; Pseudomonadati; Pseudomonadota; Gammaproteobacteria; Enterobacterales; Enterobacteriaceae. The record is from RNAcentral.